This 460-nucleotide ribosomal RNA is filed under the name uncultured Dehalobacterium sp. RNAcentral's name for it is "partial 16S ribosomal RNA". It matches the Rfam family "Bacterial small subunit ribosomal RNA", at positions 341 to 792 of the family's 1533-position model. Lineage: Bacteria; Bacillati; Bacillota; Clostridia; Eubacteriales; Peptococcaceae. The record is from RNAcentral.
ACGGGAGGCAGCAGUGGGGAAUCUUCCGCAAUGGGCGAAAGCCUGACGGAGCAACGCCGCGUGAGUGAAGAAGGCCUUCGGGUCGUAAAGCUCUGUCUUUAGGGACGAAAAACUGUUACGUGAAUAAUGUAGCAGCCUGACGGUACCUGAGGAGGAAGCUCCGGCUAACUACGUGCCAGCAGCCGCGGUAAUACGUAGGGAGCGAGCGUUGUCCGGAAUUACUGGGCGUAAAGGGCGUGUAGGCGGGGAUUUAAGUAGGGAGUGAAAACUGCGGGCUUAACCCGGAGACUGCUUCCUAAACUGGAUCUCUUGAGGGCAGGAGAGGAAAGUGGAAUUCCUAGUGUAGCGGUGAAAUGCGUAGAUAUUAGGAGGAACACCAGUGGCGAAGGCGACUUUCUGGACUGUACCUGACGCUGAGGCGCGAAAGCGUGGGGAGCGAACAGGAUUAGAUACCCUGGUA